RNAcentral lists this ribosomal RNA (359 nucleotides) under uncultured bacterium. RNAcentral describes it as "partial 16S ribosomal RNA". It matches the Rfam family "Bacterial small subunit ribosomal RNA", at positions 338 to 694 of the family's 1533-position model. The record is from RNAcentral.
CCUACGGGUGGCAGCAGUGAGGAAUAUUGGUCAAUGGGCGCGAGCCUGAACCAGCCAAGUCGCGUGAAGGAUGACUGCCCUACGGGUUGUAAACUUCUUUUAUAAAGGAAUAAAGUGAGGCACGUGUGCCUUUUUGUAUGUACUUUAUGAAUCAGGAUCGGCUAACUCCGUGCCAGCAGCCGCGGUAAUACGGAGGAUCCUAACUUUAUCCGGAUUUAUUGGGUUUAAAGGGAGCGUAGAUGGGUUGUUAAGUCAGUGGUUAAAGUUUGCGGCUCAACCGUAAAAUUGAAAUUGAUACUGGCAGUCGUGAGUACAGUGGAGGUAGGCGGAAUUCGUGGUGUAGCGGUGAAAUGCUUAGA